This 3306-nucleotide long non-coding RNA is filed under the name Monomorium pharaonis (pharaoh ant). RNAcentral describes it as "uncharacterized LOC118645811". Lineage: Eukaryota; Metazoa; Arthropoda; Insecta; Hymenoptera; Formicidae. The record is from RNAcentral.
GUAUUCGCUCGAGGAGGGUACGCAAUCCGUUCGGUAGAAUGUCAGUAAGGUUGGGGGUAUGGCUCGGGUAGCUCGGGCUCGAAAUUGUAUCAUUGCGCGUUAUUUUUAAUCAGAUCAUUUUUAAAAUGUUGCGCCGCUGGACGUAGAACGGUUGUCGUCGCGACUUGGUCAAUUAAUUACUGUCAAUUUAACCAUCACGUAAUGUAGAUUCAGCGCGUAUACAUGUCGAUAAUUCGUAGAAACGCGAAUUUCGUGAUUUAUCGGCUGAAAAUGUGUCACUCAUAUCGCAAGCUGUUAUUGCGAGUAAACGGGCGGAUGUUACACUUACGCAUUCUAAUCUAAUAAGUUUAUUCUAACCUAAAGGGGGAUAUGUGGUGUGCGCGACGCGAUUUUGGCGCGCGAAGUAAUUCGCACGGGAAUCGGCCGACUCGUUAUUUUUAUUGCAUUUACGUUUAAUUACGAAACGCGAGAUCUGUUCCGGAAUGAGAGGUGGAGAGAAGCGAGAGAUUUAUUCUGAAGGAGGAGAAGAAAAAGGAGAUUUGAUGAUUGCAAAGUGGGACGAAUAGGCCUAAUAGGAGAGGCAUCGGGCGCCGGUGGAGCAACUUGGCGACUCAUCAUAGCUACAUUGUUGAUAAAUAACUCCACUGUUGCGCAUCGGUCGGUAAGUAAUUUAUAACAAAAUGUAUUGAAAAUAAAUAUAAAACUCUUCACAGGUCUGUUAUCUAAAAAUCAAUGAGCUUCAACUUUUUUUGAUGAUUUAUAUUAUAUUAUGUUAGAGUCAGUUAGAGUAAUGCUUUAAAAAUUUUUUUUAUAUUACGACAAUCUAAUUUAACAAAUAAUACAUUGCAUAAUAAAUUAUUUAUUAUUAUAUCUAAAUGUAAAUGCCCGAGUCAUAAAUUCUAUUACAAAUAUUACAAAUCUUCUAUAUUGCACAAUCUGAUAUUUUAAUUAGAAGCAACAGAUUUUUGGAAACUACAUUUAAAAUAAGAACUUCAACAACACGUUUAUAUUCUAAAUUUUUAAUUGUUUAUUAAUUUGUAUACAGAAUUCUUAUAUUCAUAAAAACAAAAUACUAGAAGUGUUUACAAUAUUACAUUCCUUACAUACCUCUUUAACGGCGAUUGCAAUAAAAUACAGAUUGCUUAACGUAGCCGAGGUAGUGAGCACUUUUUUAUGUGCUACGAUGCAAAUAAAUUGCUUAAAUGCUUAUCAAUAAUCAAGAAUAUUUUGCAUUAAAUGAUCCAGAUAAAAUAAAUUUCAAAAUAUGUGUUCACAAUAGUUUUGUUAUGUACUAUAAGUCUGUACAUUUUAAAUUAAAAAAGAUUAAUGCUAUAUAAUGCAAGAUUGGCAUCAUAAAUCCUCCUUUGUGAUGACGUUUGUAUUAUUAUGAUAUGAUUAUAAAUAGUUUUCCUUAUCUCAGCUAUAAGCUCGUUUUUGUUAUUUUAAAAAGUUGUUUUUUGGGACACCAAUAUCCAAAUAUUUUCAGAAUUAUGAAAAGUUCAUGUAUUUGUAAGAAGACAAGAAAAUAUUUACCGACAUUUACAUUAAUCAAAAACCCACAAGAGGAGGAUUAAGUGCAUCAAUUUUGCGAUAAAAUCGGCGCAUAUACAAUGGUAUUAAUAUUAAAACUUAUUAGCUAUUAGUUAUUAUUUCUCGUUAUUAAACUGAAGUAUAUCUGUAAAUGGUAUAUAUCGUUACAUUGAUUCUUUGAUACCUGUAAAAAUAAUCUCACUUCUUAAACAUAUUUUUAGAGCUUACAAUACGUAUUUAAGCUUUAUUUAAUUAUUAAUUUUUUCAUUACAUAAUUUUUACUGAUAUCAACAAAGUUUUAACUUGUAUAAUGAAUUUUAAUCUAGACAAUUAUAUUUGUGUAAUUUUUUGUCAUAUAAAGCAUACAGAAUAUUUCUUUUUAAUAAUGGCACAAUUAUUCAUAAAAAUAAAAUUAAAGUUUUAAUUAUGCUUUAUGUUUAACAAGUAAUAGUAUAUUACUUAUUAAGCUCACAAUGAAAAUUAAAUCAUGAGAUAACAUUACAAGUAAUUUGCAAUAUGUGCAUUGCAAUAAUUUGCAAUAAAAUCAAAUUAAAGUCUGUCUAAUAUUACUUGCAAAUUAUUUAAAAACUCUGUAAUUUACCAUUUUCUAUUAAUAUUUCUGUACAUCCAAUGUGUUAAAAUUUUUUUAAAAUUUCAAUAAAAACAUAAUAUAUACACAUAAAAUAUUGUAAAAUAGUAUUAUUCGUAAAUGUUACAUAUAUUUCCAGUUUGUGUUUAAAAAAAGUUUAGAAUUGUAUGUACAAUUUUUCUGAGCUGCUGCACCAUUCUAAUACACGUUUUUAUGAAAAUUGUAAUUUUUUAAAUUGUAAUAUAUUUUUUGUAAUAACUAUUAUAACAAAGAUGUUAUUAAAAAUUAAAUAACAAAUUAAUAGCUAAAACAUGUAUUCUAACAACUUUAUAUAAGUUUGUAAUCAUUUUCUUAAAAAUCUAAUAGACUAACAGCUCAGAAUUUUGGGAACAAUCUAUGAUUUAGUAUAUGUAUUGUAGUGAUGUCCAUGAUGCAUUCAAAUAGCUGCAAACACACAUACACACAUACACACACGCUUAUACAUAUAUAUUCGAUCGUAGUUAGAUCUUAGAUAAUUAUUAAAACAUACUCGUCUUUUCCUCAUUGAUAGUUGACGCGCUCAGUAUUAAUAUUUAUCGAAUGGCGUUUGUCAACGCAUAAAAUCCAUUCUUAUGUCGAGCAAUGACAUUAGAAGGAAUUCGCGAGAAAUGUUCUCGAAUACAGAUCUCAGUAUAUUUGAUGCAAUGCUGAGAUAUCUUCAAGUUCUUUACAAAGUAAACCUGUUAAAUAUUAUAAUCAUUUCUGUACAAAAUUAAAUUAAAAAUUCUCAUCAUAGUUAUACAUUAAAAUCUUGCACCAAAUUGGAAUAUAUGUAUUAUAAUGAAAUUAGCACAUUUAUUUAAAUAAUCAAUAAGUAAUUCUUUUGGAAUGGUUUAAAAAAUGCUGUUAACAUUAAAAUCGCUAUUUUCAAGCAAAUAACAAAAAAUUUCUCAAUAUUUUAUUGUAUCCAAAAUGGAUUAGCUUAUCCUAAAGAUGAUUACUAUACAGACUUUAAUAUAUGCACAGUCUAUCCACUGACCUUAUCUUUUUUUUUCAAAAGAUUGAAAUUAUCAAAUAUUUUACUUACGGUUAAUCUGCGUAAUCUUUGCGUUGCGAUAUCUAUAUCUUCAAUAAAACACCUAAAAUCGCGAACAGUAAAUUUUCAUAUAGAUAAAAAAAAUUCUAACAAGUGUAAACGUAAGUCUGCA